Molecule: small RNA, 261 nt
Filed under: Staphylococcus aureus
Lineage: Bacteria; Bacillati; Bacillota; Bacilli; Caryophanales; Staphylococcaceae
Description: Transcript
Source: RNAcentral
AUGUUAAUUCCAGCUGUUGCAAUUGGUAAUAAUCCUACUGCUGUUAAAACAGAAUAUCUUCCACCUACAUCAUCAGGUACGAUAAACGUUUCAUAACCUUCGUUUGUAGCCAACUGUUUUAAAGCACCUUUUUCUUUAUCCGUUGUUGCAAAUAUACGUUUUUGUGCUUCUUCUUUACCGUAUCUUUCUUCAACUAAUUGUUUGAACAAUCUAAAUGCAACUGCUGGUUCUGUAGUUGUACCAGAUUUAGAAAUAACGUUU